RNAcentral lists this unclassified non-coding RNA (211 nucleotides) under Hevea brasiliensis (rubber tree). The record is from RNAcentral. Lineage: Eukaryota; Viridiplantae; Streptophyta; Magnoliopsida; Malpighiales; Euphorbiaceae.
UUGCAAUAAGCGGAUUCUAACAUCUUUCUAGCAUGUUAAACUUAUGCCUCAUUGCAGUUUUGACCUGCAGCUGGGCGUGGGUCCAUGCAUGAUGCGUUCAUGUACAUCAAGAUUUACAUGUGGACUCACUUGGUGCUUUGGGAUUUUAACUUUUAUAUUAAACUGUAAGAACUCCUUUUAUUGAGCCAAGCCUUUACUAAUAAUGGCUCAG